CAUAGGUGGCAAGCGUUGUCCGGAUUUAUGGGUUUAACGGGUGCGUAGGCGGCCCUGUAAGUCAGUGGUGAAAUGCUCUAGCUUAACUAGAGAGGUGCCAAUGAUACUGCAGGGCUUGAGUACAGAUGAGGUAGGCGGAAUUGACGGUGUAGCGGUGAAAUGCAUAGAUAUCGUCAAGAACACCUAUAGCGAAGGCAGCUUACUGGGCUGUAACUGACGCUGAGGCACGAAAGUGUGGGGAUCAAACAGGAUUAGAUACCCUGGUAGUCCACACUGUAAACGUUGAUUACUCGCUGUUUGCGAUACACAGCAAGCGGCUUAGCGAAAGCGAUAAGUAAUCCACCUGGGGAGUACGCCGGCAACGGUG
This 367-nucleotide ribosomal RNA is filed under the name uncultured organism. RNAcentral's name for it is "bacterial SSU rRNA". It matches the Rfam family "Bacterial small subunit ribosomal RNA", at positions 526 to 896 of the family's 1533-position model. The record is from RNAcentral.